This 1176-nucleotide ribosomal RNA is filed under the name Triticum aestivum (bread wheat). RNAcentral describes it as "partial small subunit ribosomal RNA". Lineage: Eukaryota; Viridiplantae; Streptophyta; Magnoliopsida; Poales; Poaceae. The record is from RNAcentral.
UUGGCAAGGACGCAUGUUACAAAAAAGAGAGCGAACACUUCACAGAUUAGCUCUGCCCGCACGGUAAAGCAAGUAGUUGGCCCGGACCAUGUAGCACAAGUCGUGAGCAUAUGGACAGGAAUUCCUGUGACUUCACUUGAUCAAGAGGAAAAUAAUAAGUUAAUACACUUAGCUGAUAGACUGCCUGAGCGAGUUAUUGGCCAAGAUGAAGCCAUCAACUCAGUUGCGCAAGCCUUGUUACGUUCCAGAGUCGGCCUUGAUCAAUCUGGCCAACCCAUAGGUUCUUUCCUAUUUUUGGGUUCCACUGGUGUUGGAAAGACAGAGCUUGCAAAAGCCCCUGCCGAGCAACUAUUUGACAGUGAAAAGAUGUUGGUCCGCUUUGAUAUGUCUGAGUAUGUUGAGGCCCAUUCUGUGUCGCGUCUCAUUGGAGCACCCCCAAGUUAUGUCGGGCACGAAAAUGGUGGGCAACUGACUGAGAAAGUGAGGAAACAUCCAUAUAGUGUCAUCCUUUUGGAUGAGGUGGAGAAGGCACAUCCUUCGGUGUUUAAUGUUUUCCUCCAGGUUCUUGAUGAUGGCAUGUUGACCGAUGGCUUAGGCCAGAUAGUAGAUUUCAAGAACACCAUCAUUAUCAUGACCUCAAAUCUGGGAGCCGAGCACCUAUCAACAGGAAUGGCAAACAAAAAGGAAACGAAAGGCCUUCUCAUGAAACAGGUUGAGAAAUAUUUCAAGCCCGAAUUCGUCAACAAAUUAAGUGAGAUUGUGAUAUUCGAGCCCCUUAUGCAAGAGAAGUUGAAGGAGAUUGUGAAAAUUCAGAUAAAAAAAGUCGUUGCUAGUGUCGCUUGCAAGGGUAUCUCUUUAUCCACAAGUGACGUCCCACUAGAUAUCAUUCUAUCGGAAUCAUACAAUCCAAUGUACGGCGCUAGGCCUAUAAGAAGAUGGGUGCAAAAGAAUGUGAUCACCAAGCUCUCGGAGCUCCUAGUCCAUGAAGAAACUGGUGAAGGCUCAGCGAUCCACAUUGAUGCUAUGGGUGACAAGGAUCUGACGUAUGAAGUGGUGAAGAAGACGACGGUGAACCCGCAAGAAGAUAAAGAUGUAAACCAUAGGCGACGACUAAAGAGACAAAGGGGUUUGCUUAGAAAUGGCAUGAAGCCGAAUAGGCUGUCUAAGAAAAGAGCU